UACGUAGGUGGCAAGCGUUAUCCGAAUUUAUUGGGCGUAAAGAGAACGCAGGCGGUCUUUUAAGUCUGAUGUGAAAGCCUUCGGCUUAACCGGAGUAGUGCAUUGGAAACUGGGAGACUUGAGUGCAGAAGAGGAGAGUGGAACUCCAUGUGUAGCGGUGAAAUGCGUAGAUAUAUGGAAGAACACCAGUGGCGAAAGCGGCUCUCUGGUCUGUAACUGACGCUGAGGUUCGAAAGCGUGGGUAGCAAACAGG
Molecule: ribosomal RNA, 253 nt
Filed under: uncultured bacterium
Lineage: Bacteria
Description: partial 16S ribosomal RNA
Rfam family: Bacterial small subunit ribosomal RNA
Source: RNAcentral